ACUGUGUGAAUUAAUGUGAACUGCAUACUGCUUUGAACAUCGACAUCUUGAACGCACAUUGCGGCCAUGGGUUAGCCCGUGGCCACGCCUGUCCGAGGGUCGGCU
Molecule: ribosomal RNA, 105 nt
Filed under: Diaschistorchis pandus
Lineage: Eukaryota; Metazoa; Platyhelminthes; Trematoda; Pronocephalidae
Description: partial 5.8S ribosomal RNA
Rfam family: 5.8S ribosomal RNA
About the family: 5.8S ribosomal RNA (5.8S rRNA) is a component of the large subunit of the eukaryotic ribosome. It is transcribed by RNA polymerase I as part of the 45S precursor that also contains 18S and 28S rRNA.
Source: RNAcentral